RNAcentral lists this ribosomal RNA (425 nucleotides) under uncultured bacterium. Its description in RNAcentral is "bacterial SSU rRNA". It matches the Rfam family "Bacterial small subunit ribosomal RNA", at positions 356 to 773 of the family's 1533-position model. The record is from RNAcentral.
GGGGAAUAUUGCACAAUGGGCGCAAGCCUGAUGCAGCCAUGCCGCGUGUGUGAAGAAGGCCUUCGGGUUGUAAAGCACUUUCAGCGGGGAGGAAGGCGGUGAGGUUAAUAACCUCACCGAUUGACGUUACCCGCAGAAGAAGCACCGGCUAACUCCGUGCCAGCAGCCGCGGUAAUACGGAGGGUGCAAGCGUUAAUCGGAAUUACUGGGCGUAAAGCGCACGCAGGCGGUCUGUCAAGUCGGAUGUGAAAGCCCCGGGAUCAACCUGGGAACUGCAUUCGAAACUGGCAGGCUAGAGUCGUGUAGAGGGGGGUAGAAUUCCAGGUGUAGCGGUGAAAUGCGUAGAGAUCUGGAGGAAUACCGGUGGCGAAGGCGGCCCCCUGGACAAAGACUGACGCUCAGGGGCGAAAGCGUGGGGAGCAAAC